Molecule: long non-coding RNA, 2612 nt
Organism: Dicentrarchus labrax (European seabass)
Lineage: Eukaryota; Metazoa; Chordata; Actinopteri; Moronidae
Exons: 3
Source: RefSeq, a predicted model, not a curated record
AGAGGAGGCUCUUCUGCGCCGUGGAGAGGGGAGGUGCGCACCACACACACAAAACCACUGAGCAGCUUCCCGUCCCCAAGCGCGCUCUUUCUGUUCCUCCCUCCCCCCGCCGCCCCCCCUCUGGACCCUGAUCAGGUCUGACCUGCCAGCACACGCGGGAUAAAGGCUGAGACAGACAGCUGGAUGUGCGUGACAGUGCCAAGGACAAAGCAGGCACUGGGAGAGGCAGCAGACAGAGGAGGAUGGUGGAGGGAUAUGCCGUGGAGAAAGGGAGCCAAAGGUUAAGUUAAUUAUGCUGUGAUGCCAAACAUCUUAAAAAUUGUAGAAAGAGGAGUUUGCCAAGACUGUAGCAAUAAUCUAAUGGAUGUUAUUAAAAAGACAGAGAAUAAAUGUCCACCAUGAACUUGGUAGAUGUCCAUUAUGGUCCAUCAGAGGAUAUUAGGUGAGGUAUGGUUUGGUGGCGUCUUUGUGUGUUGCUAUGAAGCUCUGACACAAUUUCUCUUUGUAUAUGUUGUAAACAAAGAAGCCCAGCAUGUACAAAACAGUCAAACACCUUUUCCAGGUAGUUUUCAAAUAGUUUCCCAGAAAUUAAACGAUGUGAUGCUAUAAUUUCUUAGGAAGGUUCUUGGAAAGACUAUGUAACUUCCCCAUACAAAUUAUUUAAUUCUUCUCUGUCUUGGGAAAUCACAGGACCUGUAAAACAAACAGUUAAUAUACCCAUCGUCCUGACAAAUCAUCACAACCAGCUGAAAGGAGCAAUCAUUAAAAUACAUUCACAGCUAAACAAAACAUAAUGCUUAUUCAUCUAAGGUUCUUGUCAACACCCUGGAUACUAUCUCAUAAAAAAAAUAAAUAUAGUAAUUAUUUUAAUUGAUUGCAAUUUGUGAUGUGACACUAAAUGUAAAAUGUAGUUUUGCAUUUAGCAACAGAGGCUCCCCCAACACAGAGUUGCUUAGUAAGUAUACUCACAAAUCCAGAGUAACUCAGAGUAAUUGUAAAUGUGACACAUCAUUCCACCUGAUUACUUGUGAAAUAUACCCUAUUAAUGUAAUGGAAAACUAUUAGUUCAGCCAAAGAAGCCCAACUUAUAGUCUUUAUAUUAUCAUGUGUGUAUGAGAGAAAGAAAAUGAUGGAAAUAAAGUAAAAUGGAUGAAUAUUUGAGCACAUUUUUACCCCCAAUUGUUCUUCUUCUACACUCAUUUGCACAAUAGUUGUAGACAUAUGAGUAAAGGCUUGUUUGAGUAUUGCUGUAAUGGAAACUUGCUGCAUGACAACUCACUGUAGUUGCAUAAUCAGUUCAAGAUAUCUAAUAGUGUACAUCUGCCAAAACACAGAGCGUGAUGGAAUAUGCACCUUGUGGUUUAUCCAGUGCGAACACAGCAAGUGAGCAGCUGUUGGCACGGAGACAAAGACUUCAAUCAGCAUAGAUUUCUGCAACCAUUUUGAUUGUGCAAACCCAUUCCUCAGACAUAGCUGAUGAGCAAGUUUGACGUGUGACAUUUAGAGUGCAUUGUGCUUAGUCCGUCCUCUUUUAUAUCCUUGCCAAACUGCCCCAAGUGUUGUCUUAUCUGACAGAAGAGAAAUCAAAAGCCAGGAUGAAAUAUUCAAAGUCUCAAGAGAGGCUGAGCAAAGUUAAGGAAAUGCUCACUGCACCUGCCAUUACAUUUCCUGCCAAGGACCUUAUCCUAUUUGGCUCUGACCUCCAUUUUCUGCCCCAGAGGCUGACAGGGACAGAGACAUAUUGGGCACGGCUGGACGCACACUGCAAGAUUCAUUUGAAUGUAUUAAGCACCAAUAUUGGCAAGGCUGAUCACAUGCCCAUAAGAAGACCACCACACACAACACACGCGUGAUUCUGAUGAGCAUCUCCUCCGGUAUUGAUCUCUCUUAUCAGCCGUCCAACAGACUACGCUGGAAAAUAAUGAAUUUUUCUUUUGCCUCUUUUUUUCUCUGUCACUCUGCAUCACUCCACCAUCCUGCCUCCUUUUGCAAUUCCUCUUUUAUGUUUCUCUUGCUCUGCCUUCCGUUCAUCGUUACACGUUUCAGAUGAACAUCCACACUGCCUACUCUACUUCCUGAAUGCCUGUAAAGGUGAGGUGAGCUUUACCCACAUGGAAACCCUUAGCAGCCUGUAUUUUCCUGUGCUCGUUCUGUGUUUCCAGUCUAAACAGCAAUUACUACAGGAAUCCUUUAUAGAGGGCCUGAGAGAGCAAAACAGUUUAGCUACAUUUGCGGUAAUGGCAUGUCUGAUAGCCUGGUUGAAUCUUUCCCCUUGGGACUCCUGCUGUAAUAACACUGCAUGGCUCACUUGAUACCAAACUUGGUACCACAGUGUGUCAGCAGUCAAAAAUUUUAAUGUUUUGUUUGUAGUCGUGAGCAGAAUGCAACAAAACUUAGACCCCAGUGCUGACAUUUUUUAAUCUUGCAUUAAUCAAAGCAUGAUAUUUAUGAUAUCACAUAUUUAAACUGAGGCAUUUUCUAAGUUAAUGUUAGCACACUUGCAAUAUGAAUAAACAUGCAGGCCUAAUAUUUAUGCUCUGUUUUAUCCACAUGAAUAUGGACUAAUUCUACCACUCAUAUCUUUAAUAAACAAGUUAGUGCACACUGUAUAA